Molecule: long non-coding RNA, 1879 nt
Filed under: Anolis carolinensis (green anole)
Lineage: Eukaryota; Metazoa; Chordata; Lepidosauria; Squamata; Anolidae
Description: lncRNA (ENSACAG00000038158.1)
Source: RNAcentral
AUGUGCUCUUCUGAUCUGGUGGGUUUUGGCCCCGAAGAACGCUCUUGGGAAGACGCUUCCACAGUCCAUGCCCCCGACUUAGUCCGCCGCUUCCAUCAGGCCUACCCUGCCAAGCCGCGGCCCCGCACCUCGGGAAGAGGGCCCAUUUUGGAAAGGGGGCUUGAGGAGGGGGAUAGUGUGAUGACUCAUGGGCCAUGUAGUCCCGUUCCUAGUACUAUUGUGGCAGAUGAAGAGGAAAACUUGGGUUUUCCACCGUUUCAGCCAGAAUUGGAGCCCUUGCACCUGCAAGAUGUUUGGCCACAAGAAGUCAGCCAAACAAGCCUUGAGCAGAAAUCUCCCCCAUUUUCUCGCCGGGAUUAUUAUAAUCAAGAUAGAAGCGCUCGGGAGGCGACUCGCAGGAGCGCCAGCAUAGCUGCCAGACAAUUAGCUGAUUAAGUCUGUUUCCCUUGGGAAACUUUAAGGAGUCAUGCAUCUGGACACAGUAUGGGUUUCGUUUCUUGUUCCCCAGGGAAAGUGUUCCUUGGCGGGAAAACAAGAUCCUAUAUAGGUGUUUGCCUGCAAAGAAAUCCUUGCGGAGUCAAUUCGUCAGCUGGAGGAGUGAGAUCGUGUGUAGACUUCGUACUCCAGUUUCUUGUUCCCCGGACCAAGUUUCCAGCCUUGCCUUGUCCCGCGUUUGCCCACGGAUCAAGUUUCCAGCCUUGCCUUGUCCCGCGUUUGCCACGGAUCUUGUUUACUCUUGUUGCCUUGUUUCAAGUCUUGUUCUAGCCAAGUAUCAAGUUUGCUUUCCAGCCUGAUUGUCAAGUUUCUAUGGACCUAAGGACCUUGUCAUUUCCCCACACUUUGCUUGGCAAAGUGUGUGUUUCGGUUAUUGGAUUAUAACUUUGGACUCUAAUAUCACAUAUUGGACAUUAUUUCUCUGGACUAUAUUUGACCUUUCCUGAAAGGUCUACUACUGAACUAUUUUCCACACUUGUUUUUAUUGACUUUAUAUAUUUCCUUAAUAAAGAUAUUAGUUAGAUUCUGGUCUCUGCGCAUGGUUAUUGGUGCUCUGCAGCCUGGGUCCUGACACAUCCUCACCAUCCUUGGGACCCUUUUGGGGGAGAAGCAGCGCCAGUUAUGGAGACCUAGAGGCAUUUACGAGACUUACAUAACUAAUCCUAAAGACAUAGGUCAGUGUUUUGAAACUUUUUUUUUUUUUUGCAUGGGGCCCCUUGCAUUUCUUAAUAUUGUGUCGCAUGUAUAAAUGUUACGUAAUAGAUCUGAAAAACAAAUUACAAACAAAGUUUUGCACACCCUAGUAAUUGUGUGUGUGUGUGUGUGUGUAUACAUAUGUGUAUGUGUAUGAGAUACAUACGUAAUACAGAAUCUUGACUGUAUAAACAGGGUUUGGACAUUUUUCCUGUACACUUUUUAAGUACUACACUUGAUUCUUGUGUUGUUUCCUCUAUGCUGAUCCAAAAGCACAUGCUUUGAUUGUGCUUUUCCUGCAUGGCAGGGGUUUGGACUAGAUGGCCCAUGUGGUCUCUUCUAAUUCUAUGAUUCUAUGAAAUUAUGCAAAUAAUAAAAGUUAAAAUUGUACUUGCACUUGAACACGCCAGCACUUCACUUCUGUAGUGAUUAAACAGCUCUUGAUGUUUUUAAACAGAGACUGGAUAACCAUCUGUGGUGCUUUGACUGUAUCUUCCUGCCUGGAUAAAGGGGCUUGGACUGGACUGGACUGCCUUUGGGGGUCUUUUCCAAUAAACUCUCAUUCUGGUGUGUGUGUGUGUGUGUGGCGGGGAAAAGAAAAUUCACUUUUACUCACAGCUCACUAAUUGCUCCCAUUGAAUACAGCACAGGUGAAAAUCUACUAUCACUGAUACAACCUAAAAUGGGAUUU